GUGCCAGCCGCCGCGGUAAUACCGGCAGCCCGAGUGAUGGCCGAUCUUAUUGGGCCUAAAGCGUCCGUAGCUGGCCGAACAAGUCCGUCGGGAAAUCCACGUGCUUAACGCGUGGGCGACCGGCGGAAACUGUCCGGCUUGGGGCCGGAGGACCCGAGGGGUACGUCCGGGGUAGGAGUGAAAUCCCGUAAUCCCGCACGGACCACCGAUGGCGAAAGCACCUCGAGAAGACGGCUCCGACGGUGAGGGACGAAAGCCAGGGUCUCGAACCGGAUUAGAAACCCUUGUAGCC
RNAcentral lists this ribosomal RNA (292 nucleotides) under uncultured bacterium. Its description in RNAcentral is "partial 16S ribosomal RNA". It matches the Rfam family "Archaeal small subunit ribosomal RNA", at positions 455 to 746 of the family's 1478-position model. The record is from RNAcentral.